Molecule: long non-coding RNA, 9936 nt
Organism: Numida meleagris (helmeted guineafowl)
Lineage: Eukaryota; Metazoa; Chordata; Aves; Galliformes; Numididae
Exons: 2
Source: RefSeq, a predicted model, not a curated record
GGCGGGAGGCGCGGGGCGCGUCGCGCCUUCCCGUGGUGCCGCGCGGCGAGCGGCGGCAGGAGCGGCCGCGACUCCAUCCGGGUCUCGGCGCGGCUGCGGGUCACCCUGCGGCAGACUAACUUGAAGGCCCGGAAGUGCCGCCCCCGGCCGCUCCUGAUUGGCGGCCUGGCUGCGUCGCCCGCCGGGGAUUGGCUGCGGAUGCCGUCAGCGUCGGGUACGUCACUUCCGCUAGCAAGUGUGUGGGCCGCGGAGACCUUGGCCUCGGGGGGGCCCGGGCCGUGCGGGCAGCGAGCAGUCGGAGCCCGGUGCACCCGGGGGAGGCGGCUGAGGGUCGUCGCGGGCCGCGUGCCUCAGGCGGCGGCGGGAAGGGGCGCGCGGUAAUACGGCAGCCACACGGCAGUGGAACUCUUAAGGUCGGGUCAGGGCGGAGCGGCGGCCGGCCCCGUGCUGGUAGCAGGCUUACGGAGCCUAACCGCGCUGCGGGCCGUGGGGAAACGUGGCACCAUGCCCACCUCCCCAGGCCUUAUUUGUGGUGUGGGAGUGGGAACUUAGACCAGUGCUGGAGGUUACGUUAAGCUUCGUUGAUAGAGCUGCCUUCUGCACAUCUUUUGUGGUUCUCUUUAAUAGCACUAUUAGUGCAGGCAGUUUUCUGGCUAACAAUAGGAGAAACAGGGAAGCUGCCUCACUUAAAACGUACACAGUGACCCUGAGGAACAGCGCCUGACAACAUAGGGUCAAAGCCAGUGCAUAAUCCGAACUUGGGAAGAUGGCUCUGUCCUUUCAGAAUCAAUAAUAUUUUGUCAGUUAGCAAUAUUUGAUGAAUAGGGCAUUCCUCCUACUCUUUCAAGUAGGUGAGCAGCCCCCAGGGGCACUGUGCCCAUGUGACACUGUGUUGUUGGACAGCCCCAGCUCCCUGGGCUCAUUGCAGCUGCCACUCCAGCCCCUGCAGCAUUUCUCCCGUAACCAGCUUUCAAGAAGAAAUUUAAUAACUUUUUUGUUUUUGCUGUAUAGUAGCUAUCUUCAUGAAAAUGACCUUAUUAAUUAGUGGUACUGGGGUUGAUACUUUUAUAAAUCUGUUCACCAAAUAUCUUAAAAUGAAAAAUCGAUGCACAUGAGUUGUAUUAUGAAGUUAUUUUGCAUAAUAAGGCCAGAGACUUGGCAGAAGGAAACAGACACAUCAUCCCAUUACUUCGUCUCUAUUGCUACUACCAGGCAAUACCCUUAUUUUCACUUUCCUUUUGAUAAAUGCCUUCUGUAUUUUCCUCUGUUGUUGGCACUGGAAGCAUUAUUUCAUUUGCAGAUAAAAGGCUCUCAUGAUCUAUAAGAGGCAACAGAUGUCAAAUUAUGCUGUGUAUAAUAUAAUGUAACACAGCAUUAUUGGAAACGUUCUUAUGUGUACCAACUUGAUUAUUUGCUGAAUUGGUGUAAUUAUUAGUUACAUUACUGUGCAACCUUUAUGCAAAACAAACUGGCUGUAACAUGCUGUUAAUAGGUAAAAGGGCUUUCUUAGUUGCUAUUCUAUGGACAAAAACAACCAUUACUAAAUGUUUUGGUAAAUUCAAAUGUUACCAAUAAAGUAUCAGUAAGUUUUCAUCUUUAAAAAACAAUCCUAUCUUUCUUCCACUUUUCCCUUCAGUUAUCUGCAUUCUGAUAAACUGGGUUUGUUGGAACAAAAACAUUGCCUGCAUGUCCUAAGAGACACAGAUCUAGUGAAUAAAUACACAUGCAUUAAUUGGUAAAUAAAAUGCACAUUCCUGUUUGAAGCAGGAUCAAACAACUGAAGUGAUGAUUUCCAUUGAGAAAUGCCUUGAGAUCCAUGUGGCAUUUGGAGCUGUAGCUAAACUGGAUCGUGCUCAUAUACACGUUUCUACUACCAGUGUACUGAAUGCCAAAUGUAUUCAGAAGGAUUCGUGAAAAUAAGACAUGUUAGUGUCGCUGUUUUCCUUGCUACAGUGCAUUAAUUCAUGUUGGUGAGGCUCUUGCCAGCACUGUAUGCUACUGUAUGCUAAGUACUUAGUGGACGCUGAACGUGAAAUAUGAAAGCCUGAUGUUUCUGUCACGUAACAUGCCUCAAUGAACAGGAUCCAGCAUUCACAUCUGCAAAAGAUGAAUUCAGAUUGCAUGUUACACACAAGUUUUCUGUUGCAUUUUCAGUAUACUCCCAACAUCUUUACAUAGAUCAGUGGGUCUGUGUAUGCAUGCACAGAUAUACAUACUUACAAAGUAUUUGUAAAAGCUUAGAAGCCUCAACAGGCUUUUUUUCCAUUCUGCUUUGUCCUCUGAAAUAGUGCAGGUGCUUUGCUCUUUUGCAGUUGUGCAGUAGUAAAUAAGAAACCCUGGCUUCUGCACUUCAACACUUAAUUAUGCACGGAUUUUGUGCUCUUUAGCACUUAAUUAUGCAAUGAUUUUGACACUCAGCACAGUCUCUUUUUUUUUUCCUCUUUUUUGUUUGUAUCAAACACUAAACUAUUUAAAAAUAAUACCAGGAAUCUAAUUGGAGAAGAGUGUUGCUGUAUAUGUAUACAGCAAGAGGCAAUUUCUAAAUGAUAAGUAACUGAAAUGCAUUAAUAGUACUUAGUUUUGAAUAGCACAGAAAGGGUUAAAUUUAGAAUAUGUUGCAUUCAUUUAUAUAGUUUGCUUUUAGAACUAAAGAAUUACGCUCACUUAGAUGCAGAUAGUUUAAUACUAAUGUAAAAAUUGAGUACACGCAGAGGAAGUUGCUAGAAUUUGCAUUCCUAUCAUGCUUAGUUUGUGUUCAAAAUUAUUAAUCAUGAUCACAUACUUUACUUUUCUGAAGGAGAUGUGCUUCAUUCCGUGCAUGAGUGGGCAGUAGUGACUUCUAAUUCCUUUCAAGCUGUGUUUCUGGAUAUUUAUAUUCCUUCUGUAACGACAUGGUCAGAAAAAUAAAUGAAAAUCAAACAUGAUAAUUGAAAAUGGAACAAACCAGCAAUAUUUCAUGUUUAUAAUUAUUCAAAACCAGAAUGCUUUAUAUUAAAGCAAUUAAAUGUAAGUAGGAUGUAGAUUUUUUGAAAAAGCUUGGCAUUUCCGAUGGAGACACUAGAUAAAGGCGUUAUUGAUGACAGUCAAAGGUAUGAAUCUUAUGCUGUUGUGUGAAAAAUACCAGGAAGCACUAGAGUGGGCACAUAUUCCUGCCCAGCUGCAUGGAUUUUGGUGCUGCUCAUAUUUGGAGUUAAAGCACACUUAUGAUUUGUAUGGCGUGCACAAUUUACACUUACUCCAGUGUAUUGCUGCUAAAUCGACUACCGUGUCCAAAAAGAGGUUCUAAAUUGUAAGGUUUUGGGCAUGAGCAGGUGACUCUUAGAAAGGCUUCUGGCCUUCAUCGCCAUGCCUUAUGUUCUGAUUAAAGCAUGUUUGCUUUCUUGGAUCGGGCCUAUUUUCACUGCAGGUGAAUUUGCUUGGCACAAGGGAAAAAACAAACACAUCUGGUUUAGUCCUAACCUUCAUACAGGAUUUGUUUGUUUGUUUUAAACUUAAAGCUUUGACUUUUCUGCUGUACUUAAUUUUAUCCACUGAGUUUUUUAAAGUUGAAUUUAAGAAUUAGAUUGAAGUAAUCUUUGGUAACAAGCUGUGUACAAAUGGUUGCCAAAUGGUCUUUUUGUAGAAGGAUGCAUUCUAUAGCAUUAUAUACCUCAAAAUAAUGCAUCUUUUUUAUCUCCACACCACAUACAGCAGAGGUCAGUAAAGCACAGUUGCUUCUACAAACACAUUAUCAGCUUGAAGUUAUUUCUUCUGCGCUGCAAAAUUGACAAAAUCAAGUGGGAGAAUAAAGUAUUCAUCUUUUAGGAUCACAUGAAAUGAAAUGGAACUUUCAUUAUUUCCCCACGUUCACAUUUUGUCCCUUCAGCAUGGUGAGGGAUACAAACUGUAACUAUUGCUUGAGCAAUUUUUCCCUCUCUUUCAUAGGUUACAGGCUGAUUAAGAGUGCUGGUGUUGUAGUAUGUGCUACUAAAUGAGAACGUGUAAAUUCCAGAAGUUUUUUUUUCCUGUAGAGUUUAGAACAGUUUUAGAGGUUUUAAGCAUAUACAGGUAAUUCAGGAAACUCAUGGGAAGCAUACUUCAGAAAGCUAGCACCUGUUCAGAUCCUACUAUUGUCACUUCUCUUAGAUGCUAAGUAGGAGUAAGGCUCUAUCAAGACGAGCACGGUAUUAAUAAAAAGGGAAAUACAAUCCAAAACUGAAUAGAGAAGAGUUUUUAAUUCACACUAACUAAAGCUUUCGUUUCAGUAAUUAUAUGAUCUUAGACUCUUUUGGAAGGAGCAAUGAGAUAUGGACGUAGUGUGUGAUGGUAGCGUAGGGGCAGCUGAGGGGAAGCACCAUGGAGGAUAAUUAAGUUUGCAUCAAUCACACUGUUGUGCCUCCAAUCCCCAAAAAAACAAGUUUGCAAGUCUGCACAUACUCACUGUGGAAGCUUGAUGUGCAGGGUCUUCAGGUGGGGCUGGAGAAAGUGGCAGAAAUUCCGUCACCAAAAGAGUCAGUGGGAGUCAAAGUACAGCUCCAGUGCAAGUGAUGCUACUGAAAUUAUGGGGCAGAAGUGUCAGAAAUUGGUGCUAGUGCUUGUAAUGUGAAUGCUAGAGCUCCAUCAUGUGGUUAAAGCUGUGCACUGUGCACAGGCUGGGCCCUCAGCCCUGGGUUGCCGUGGCCAAACCACUGGAAGCAAGUUUGGCAGUGAACUUGGUCAUCUUCAUUCGAUGCUCCAUGAUAGCUGCACAAUUAACAGUGCCAUCUUCUUCACUUCUACUACUUUGAGGAUUUUUAAAUACAAGCACGUGGUGACUGGAAAAAUGCUACUUCGAACACAGCAGUCGAUAAGGAAAACAAAUUAAAUUUGUACUUCUUAAUAUACAAAAAAAAUCAUUAAGUGUUUAUUGCUGAAGUAGUGAGCGUGCCGGUGGUAGCACAAACAGCUGUGCUGUACUCAGGCAUGAUAUCAUCAGCAUGGUGACUUCAGUGCGAGGAUGAAUGCCAUAGCAGAUUCACAUGAAGCUGAGAAGAUACCAAAUCAGUAGGGGCUGUGCCAGGAGUAUAAUUUAUCAGGCAUGUGGUACAUCAAGCUUCUCUGUCCGUGUGUGCCAGGAAUACGUAAUGUGUAACAUCAGGGAAGCCUGGCAGAUCUCAUUCCUUGAAAGGACAGUGCAACUUAGGUGAUAGCUUUUUAGAAGCUGUUAGAAAUAACAGUUAACUCCAGAACUGGUGUGAAGCACAACACUACUGGGCUAGACUUUGCAUGAAUGUCAUACAACACGUUCAAGAGACAGUUUGGACUAGAAUUGUUGAUUCUUUUUAAUUCUAUACCUUUCUAUUAUUAAACAGAAUAAUAGAAGAAGAUAGUAAGUACCUACCAGAGUAAUGUACCGUCAAUAAAACUGCUUUUCUCCAGUAGCUUAAAGACAGGAUACGUGAUGAUCUUUCAUAAGGCAUAUCUGUUGCAGAAUGAGGUUUUCCUAGUGCCCUGCGUGCACUUCACCAUCGAUCUGAAGCCAGACUAUUGCACAUAACCACAAGAUAACAAUUGGAUGUCAUUCAAAAUAUUUUUUCAAGGACAUUUUUGACCUUAAGUAAUAGAUAGCCCUUCCAGACCUGUAAUAGAUGAAAGGAUCUUGUUUCAGGAAGCCAAAAGCAGACAAAUGCUUCAGGAGCUGCACAUACCUAGCAGGAAAGUCUCACAGUAGCAGUAGUAAAGAGUUCAGAAGUUCCUAUAACAGAACUUAAUUGAGAAGUCCCACUGUCAGUAAAGGAAGUAAUAAUAAAAACUGUUAGGCUUUUAGCUAACUCCUUCUAGGAGUGGUGAAAUGCUACAGAUUGUGAUCUGUUCACUAAACUUAGUGUCCUUCUGGUUUCAUUUUAAUAAAGGAUGCUCACAAGUGUCCUACAUGUUUUAUACAUUUUAUAUUCUUUGGAUGCCUUUUUUGUGCAGUAGUAUCUGUUCAGUUUUUCCAAAGUGCUUAAAACAUUUUCAGUGCAGAGAAGCAGCAGCUUCAUCUUAAAGACCCACCUGAAUUGAAAUAUCUUAGACUUCAUGGAAUCCCCAAGUGACAAAGUGAAAACAGCAAGCCUGUGCUCUCUGUAGUGAGACUGGCUUGGGCAGAGGCCUCAGCAGGUGCCUCUCUGUGUAGGAAUGGGCUCCUUACAUGAAUCUGCUCAACUGUGGAAGGUUUGGAUGCAGGAGUAAGGAACUGUGAAAGGACUGUCAGCAUCCCUACUGAAUAUUUGCUUGACAGCAGGAUGUCUAACUGAGCUAAUUCAAAGGAUGUGAUAUGUGCCAGCACUUCAUCAUCAUUUGCCUUUGUCCCUGUGCUACUGUUGUAAUUUAUUUCUGUUUUGGACAUUAGGACCAACUGCUUGUGUCCAUCUGUGCAUGCUAAAGCAUACAUUCCAAUUUGUAACUGGUUACAAGGAAGAUUUUAAGAAUGAUUCACCAGAAUUUGUCAUCAAUAUUUGUACAAAGGAUUCUGGAGUAAAGCUUGGAGGGGGCUGGAAAGUACUUUCAUUUUUUUUCCUCUGUUCAAGGAAUAACGUCAUCCCUUUGUAUAUUAAUGCAUUGGAUCACGCGUUGUGUUUUUUGGCAAGGACAUUAACAUGCAUUAGGAGCUCUUGUUCUAUCAAGGCUUUGUUUGAUGACUGGUCUGAAAACCUCAGCUCCGAAUUCAGAUGAAGUAUUAGUAGGACAUGUAUUUAAUGUUUGAAAAUCUGUGCAUUUCCGUAAACACUUUCAGCUAUCUUAUAAAUUACAUUGCUAAAAGGAUCAGCUUUCCUCUUCAGCUCUGUUCUCAAGAUGUCCUUGCUAAGAAGGGGAUUGUAAGUCACAUCAGUCUGGCAAGUAUUUUGAUUUCAAUAUUAUAAGACUUUUUAGCUUGAGGUCAUGUUGAGCUCUGGUAAUGCAGAAGUUGGCUUUAAGGCUCUAUGAGGAGCAGUUAGAAGAGCCCAAUUGUUUCUGAUCUAAAGGCAAUGUAUAUUUUAAGUGGCCUUUUGAUAAGGUAGUUUAACUGUUAAUGUCUUAUAAGGCCUUAAUAAACUUACUAAAAAUAAUAUUUUAAGAACAGUGAUUAAGUAGAAUAAAAACUAGUGAUUUCUUAAGAAUUGUAAGUAUGAGGAUCUUAUACUGAUCCAUGUGAAUCAGCUGCAUAGUUAUAGUCCUAGCUUUUAUUACUUCUGAAGAUCUACAUAUCUGCAUAUGAUGUUUCUCAUAGACAUUUUCUUAUGAUUUCAGAUGAGAGAUUACAUCCGUGGAAUGCUAAUAUUAUUUUUCCUGUAACAGACAAGUUUAAUGACUAUAGUUGCUAUGACUGCUACAGCUUGCUAACUGCCUAAAGAUGAAAUACAUUAAGACCCAAACAGUUGGUAAACUUUUGAAAUGAAGGAAUCUUAUCUUUACAGUAACUUGACUACACGACUGGGGAGAGAAUAGAAUUUUUUUUUUUUUUUCCUGUGACCAGUAUUCUACACUGUAAAUGCUGUCUGCAGUUAGCAGAAGUUGUCUUUAUUAAAGCACCAUUCUUUGGACAUCACCUCUGAAGAUGCCUGCACUGUGGGAUGAGGUAGUAGGUUGUAUAGUUUUAGGGUCAUACCCGCAACUGGGAGAUAACUAUACAAUCUACUGUCUUUCCUAAAGCAGCAGAAAAUCAGCAAUGGAGACUGUUCAAUUUUAAGUUCAAUGUCAGAUUCUACCGAACUUCUGUACUGGGAGUGUUUAUUAUAGGAGAAAGAUAUUUCUGCAGCACCUACAGGUAAUUACUUCUAGGUUUUUCUAAUUCUCUAUAUUAACUUUUCUUCUCUAAGGAUAAAAGUGUAAGAAUAGAUCGACUCCUUUAAAGUGGGGUAAUCAUAUACAAAUGGUUGAUGUUCUAAUAAGUUGUGUUAACAUUGCUAACUGAAGCAUCAAAUAUUAAUACUCUAGAAUGAGACUGUGGUUAGCUACUUCAGCAAAGGGCUUAAGUGCAUGCUUCUCUGUCAGAGUGAGGUAGUAGAUUGUAUAGUUGUAGGGUAGUUAUUUUACCCUGUUCAGGAGAUAACUAUACAAUCUAUUGCCUUCCCUGAGGAGUAAAACAAACUGCGGUCCUUUGCAGUCAUUUGUUUCCACAUUUGGUAGAUUUGUCACAUAAGCUUAGGGUUGUGAAGUAUCAAAUUAAUCCUGCAACUUCUGUCACUGAUUAACAAUCAGUUUGAAUGGUGCAAACCUGAAAUGGUAUUUGACUAAUAUGACUUAUCUUCCAAGGUGAACGGCACAUCGCUGUCUGGACAUCAACAAUGCAUCUCUCAGUAGAUACAGAAUGGAAUAUACCAUAGACUAGAAAUCAUUCUAAAACAGUUUGGUUUUGUAUCUAGAAAGUAGUUGUGGCUCAAGCUUGUACAUUGUGACAUAAACUGUUUUAAGACACCAAUUUCUGUAAUACAUUAACAUUCCGUGACUGUUUAGUAGAAGCUGGAAAACUUACAGUUAUACUUCAUUAAUAUGUCUGCUUAUUUUUCUCUAGCUCUUCCAGCAAGUGAGACUUAAACAAUGUAAUACAAAGUUUAAAGCAUUGAACAGCCAAGAUUGACCCCUUCAACUGUUUAGGAGAAUGUAAAGUUAUGAGGUUUGAGUGCCCAAGAUCCAGAAUUGUAACUUUUGUCUGAAGAGGUGACUGUUUUUAUAAGAAGACAUUUAAAAGCUUACUGUGUUCUUUUUCCCCCCUUAAGCCCUAGGUGUACCCCAUCUAGCUGCUUCUGCCCUAGAGUGACCAGCUAACAUCCUCCUAUAACAACAAGAGGAAAACAGCAUGAAAAUACUUUUUGGGACUGAAAGUUUAGCAUAGUAAGAGUGAAAACGGAGCCAUUCACGACUAUUUAAGCCAGGAGCAUUACUGGUUAACCACUUAUUAAACAGUGCUAACUAAACUUGUAGUACAUGCCCUGGCCUAAAAAUGCAGAAGACCAAAAGCAGCUGGUAAGCUAAGCUGACUUGACAGAGCAGCUGCUAAGUAAGAAGAACUACAAAAAGGAAGCAUUGGGCUCCUAGGAAGAGGUAGUAGGUUGCAUAGUUUUAGGGCAGGGAUUUUGCUCACAAGGAGGUAACUAUACAACCUGCUGCCUUUCUUAGGGCUUUAUUCUUACACCAGGACCAUUUUGGCUGUGUCCUAACCUCUGCAGCUUUGGUAUGUGAAGAUGAGUGACAAGUUGUUUCUAAGCAUAUUGAGGUCUGAUGAAACUGGUGUCACAGCAAGUUUGGUACCAGACAAGCGUAGUACUAUUAACUGGAAUUCAGUACUGUGAAACACUGCAUUUCAGGGCACAUGUGUCAUUUUCAUGACAUUAGUGUUGUGAUAGCCUGCAAAGAGAACACUGAAGAAAUUCCAAGAGUAUGAUCAAAUUCCCUACAAUUAGGAUGGAGGUGCUACAUACUAAUUAACAUUCAGUUAAGUGCUAAUGCUAUGUACUCACAAACAGGCAGCUAUAAUACACCUUUGGCUUUGUGGAUUUUCACGUUGAAAAAUUGAAGUUUCCAAGGAUCAACUUUCAACUCACCUGAAAGCUGGUGGGUUCCUGAAAGCAGGAGUAGGCUGUCCCGAUCAGUUGUGCUCUCAGGCAUGGAUUACUUGCAGUCCUACAGGAAAGUUUCAGUCAAAGUGAAUGACUGCAUAUCUGCUGUGUAUGAUGAAAAGUAGAUUUUUUUUCCAUGUAGUUACAGUGCAGUAGCACAGUGGUUCUGUUAAGGCUUCAUCCAGAUGUGCUCUUCUGUGGGACAUGGAGACUCUUAACUGUUGACCAUCUUGUAAGAUUAGUGGAUUAUGCUUACACCAGCCAGCAUUUAAAGCGCUGACAACAAGACAGAAUCUUAAAUAUUUUAAACAUAUUAAGAUGUUUAAAUGGAAAUCGUCUAUUAAUUUAAUUGUACACACUUGAUUUACUCAAUAAAAUACAGAAUUUUAUGCAACUCUUA